CCUAUGGGAGGCAGCAGUGGGGAAUUUUGGACAAUGGGCGCAAGCCUGAUCCAGCCAUUCCGCGCGAGUGAAGAAGGCCUUCGGGUUGUAAAGCUCUUUCGGCAGGAACGAAACGGUUUGGGCUAAUACCCUGAGCUAAUGACGGUACCUGAAGAAGAAGCACCGGCUAACUACGUGCCAGCAGCCGCGGUAAUACGUAGGGUGCGAGCGUUAAUCGGAAUUACUGGGCGUAAAGCGUGCGCAGGCGGUUUUGUAAGACAGAUGUGAAAUCCCCGGGCUCAACCUGGGAACUGCGUUUGUGACUGCAAGACUCGAGUGUGGCAGAGGGGGGUGGAAUUCCACGUGUAGCAGUGAAAUGCGUAGAGAUGUGGAGGAACACCGAUGGCGAAGGCAGCCCUGGGUCAACACUGACGCUCAUGCACGAAAGCGUGGGUAGCAAACAGGAUUAGAUACCCUGGUAGUCCACGCCCUAAACGAUGCGAACUAGGUGUUGGGGAAGGAGACUUCCUUAGUACCGCAGCUAACGCGUGAGGUUCGCCGCCUGGGGAGUACGGUCGCAAGAUUAAAACUCAAAGGAAUAGACGG
RNAcentral lists this ribosomal RNA (585 nucleotides) under uncultured bacterium. Its description in RNAcentral is "bacterial SSU rRNA". It matches the Rfam family "Bacterial small subunit ribosomal RNA", at positions 338 to 916 of the family's 1533-position model. The record is from RNAcentral.